UUAAGCGACUAAGCGUACACGGUGGAUGCCCUGGCAGUCAGAGGCGAUGAAGGACGUGCUAAUCUGCGAAAAGCGUCGGUAAGGUGAUAUGAACCGUUAUAACCGGCGAUGUCCGAAUGGGGAAACCCAGUGCAAUUCGUUGCACUAUCGUUAACUGAAUACAUAGGUUAACGAGGCGAACCGGGGGAACUGAAACAUCUAAGUACCCCGAGGAAAAGAAAUCAACCGAGAUUCCCCCAGUAGCGGCGAGCGAACGGGGAGCAGCCCAGAGUCUGAAUCAGCUUGUGUGUUAGUGGAACGGUCUGGAAAGUCCGACGGUACAGGGUGAUAGUCCCGUACACCAAAAUGCACAGGCUGUGAACUCGAAGAGUAGGGCGGGACACGUGGUAUCCUGUCUGAAUAUGGGGGGACCAUCCUCCAAGGCUAAAUACUCCUGACUGACCGAUAGUGAACCAGUACCGUGAGGGAAAGGCGAAAAGAACCCCGGCGAGGGGAGUGAAAAAGAACCUGAAACCGUGUACGUACAAGCAGUGGGAGCACCUUCGGGUGUGACUGCGUACCUUUUGUAUAAUGGGUCAGCGACUUAUAUUCUGUAGCAAGGUUAACCGUAUAGGGGAGCCGCAGGGAAACCGAGUCUUAACUGGGCGUUAAGUUGCAGGGUAUAGACCCGAAACCCGGUGAUCUAGCCAUGGGCAGGUUGAAGGUUGGGUAACACUAACUGGAGGACCGAACCGACUAAUGUUGAAAAAUUAGCGGAUGACUUGUGGCUGGGGGUGAAAGGCCAAUCAAACCGGGAGAUAGCUGGUUCUCCCCGAAAGCUAUUUAGGUAGCGCCUCGUGAAUUCAUCUUCGGGGGUAGAGCACUGUUUCGGCUAGGGGGUCAUCCCGACUUACCAACCCGAUGCAAACUACGAAUACCGAAGAAUGUUAUCACGGGAGACACACGGCGGGUGCUAACGUCCGUCGUGAAGAGGGAAACAACCCAGACCGCCAGCUAAGGUCCCAAAGUCAUGGUUAAGUGGGAAACGAUGUGGGAAGGCACAGACAGCCAGGAUGUUGGCUUAGAAGCAGCCAUCAUUUAAAGAAAGCGUAAUAGCUCACUGGUCGAGUCGGCCUGCGCGGAAGAUGUAACGGGGCUAAACCAUGCACCGAAGCUGCGGCAGCGACACUAUGUGUUGUUGGGUAGGGGAGCGUUCUGUAAGCCUGCGAAGGUGACCUGUGAGGCAUGCUGGAGGUAUCAGAAGUGCGAAUGCUGACAUAAGUAACGAUAAAGCGGGUGAAAAGCCCGCUCGCCGGAAGACCAAGGGUUCCUGUCCAACGUUAAUCGGGGCAGGGUGAGUCGACCCCUAAGGCGAGGCCGAAAGGCGUAGUCGAUGGGAAACAGGUUAAUAUUCCUGUACUUGGUGUUACUGCGAAGGGGGGACGGAGAAGGCUAUGUUAGCCGGGCGACGGUUGUCCCGGUUUAAGCAUGUAGGCUGGUUGUCCAGGCAAAUCCGGAUAAUCAAGGCUGAGGUGUGAUGACGAGGCACUACGGUGCUGAAGUAACAAAUGCCCUGCUUCCAGGAAAAGCCUCUAAGCAUCAGGUAACAUCAAAUCGUACCCCAAACCGACACAGGUGGUCAGGUAGAGAAUACCAAGGCGCUUGAGAGAACUCGGGUGAAGGAACUAGGCAAAAUGGUGCCGUAACUUCGGGAGAAGGCACGCUGGUGUGUAGGUGAAGCCCCUGCGGGUGGAGCUGAGACCAGUCGAAGAUACCAGCUGGCUGCAACUGUUUAUUAAAAACACAGCACUGUGCAAACACGAAAGUGGACGUAUACGGUGUGACGCCUGCCCGGUGCCGGAAGGUUAAUUGAUGGGGUUAUCCGUAAGGAGAAGCUCUUGAUCGAAGCCCCGGUAAACGGCGGCCGUAACUAUAACGGUCCUAAGGUAGCGAAAUUCCUUGUCGGGUAAGUUCCGACCUGCACGAAUGGCGUAAUGAUGGCCAGGCUGUCUCCACCCGAGACUCAGUGAAAUUGAACUCGCUGUGAAGAUGCAGUGUACCCGCGGCAAGACGGAAAGACCCCGUGAACCUUUACUAUAGCUUGACACUGAACAUUGAGCCUUGAUGUGUAGGAUAGGUGGGAGGCUUUGAAGCGUGGACGCCAGUCUGCGUGGAGCCAACCUUGAAAUACCACCCUUUAAUGUUUGAUGUUCUAACGUUGGCCCCUUACCGGGGUUGCGGACAGUGUCUGGUGGGUAGUUUGACUGGGGCGGUCUCCUCCCAAAGCGUAACGGAGGAGCACGAAGGUUAGCUAAUCCUGGUCGGACAUCAGGAGGUUAGUGCAAUGGCAUAAGCUAGCUUGACUGCGAGCGUGACGGCGCGAGCAGGUGCGAAAGCAGGUCAUAGUGAUCCGGUGGUUCUGAAUGGAAGGGCCAUCGCUCAACGGAUAAAAGGUACUCCGGGGAUAACAGGCUGAUACCGCCCAAGAGUUCAUAUCGACGGCGGUGUUUGGCACCUCGAUGUCGGCUCAUCACAUCCUGGGGCUGAAGUAGGUCCCAAGGGUAUGGCUGUUCGCCAUUUAAAGUGGUACGCGAGCUGGGUUUAGAACGUCGUGAGACAGUUCGGUCCCUAUCUGCCGUGGGCGCUGGAGAAUUGAGGGGGGCUGCUCCUAGUACGAGAGGACCGGAGUGGACGCAUCACUGGUGUUCGGGUUGUCAUGCCAAUGGCACUGCCCGGUAGCUAAAUGCGGAAGAGAUAAGUGCUGAAAGCAUCUAAGCACGAAACUUGCCCCGAGAUGAGUUCUCCCUGAGACUAUAAGUCUCCUGAAGGAACGUUAAAGACGAUGACGUUGAUAGGCCGGGUGUGUAAGCGCAGCGAUGCGUUGAGCUAACCGGUACUAAUGAACCGUGAGGCUUAACCUU
This 2900-nucleotide ribosomal RNA is filed under the name Klebsiella pneumoniae. Its description in RNAcentral is "bacterial LSU rRNA". It matches the Rfam family "Bacterial large subunit ribosomal RNA". Lineage: Bacteria; Pseudomonadati; Pseudomonadota; Gammaproteobacteria; Enterobacterales; Enterobacteriaceae. The record is from RNAcentral.